CCUACGGGUGGCAGCAGUGGGGGAUAUUGCACAAUGGGGGAAACCCUGAUGCAGCGACGCCGCGUGCGUGAAGAAGCGCCUCGGCGCGUAAAGCUCUGUCAGCAGGGAAGAAAAUGACGGUACCUGAAGAAGCAUCCCCGGCUCACUCCGUGCCAGCAGCCGCGGUAAUACGUAGGGGGCAAGCGUUAUCCGGAUUUACUGGGUGUAAAGGGGGCGCAGUCGGCGAUGCAAGUCAGGGGUGAAAGGCCGGGGCCCAACCCCGGGACUGCUGUUGGAACUGCGGGGCUAGAGUGCAGGAGGGGCAGGCGGAAUUCCUGGUGUAGCGGUGAAAUGCGUAGAUAUCA
This 344-nucleotide ribosomal RNA is filed under the name uncultured bacterium. RNAcentral's name for it is "partial 16S ribosomal RNA". It matches the Rfam family "Bacterial small subunit ribosomal RNA", at positions 338 to 699 of the family's 1533-position model. The record is from RNAcentral.